RNAcentral lists this ribosomal RNA (575 nucleotides) under uncultured bacterium. RNAcentral's name for it is "partial 16S ribosomal RNA". It matches the Rfam family "Bacterial small subunit ribosomal RNA", at positions 355 to 920 of the family's 1533-position model. The record is from RNAcentral.
UGGGGAAUAUUGCACAAUGGGCGCAAGCCUGAUGCAGCCAUGCCGCGUGUGUGAAGAAGGCCUUCGGGUUGUAAAGCACUUUCAGCGAGGAGGAAGGUGGUGAACUUAAUACGUUCAUCAAUUGACGUUACUCGCAGAAGAAGCACCGGCUAACUCCGUGCCAGCAGCCGCGGUAAUACGGAGGGUGCAAGCGUUAAUCGGAAUUACUGGGCGUAAAGCGCACGCAGGCGGUUUGUUAAGUCAGAUGUGAAAUCCCCGGGCUCAACCUGGGAACUGCAUUUGAAACUGGCAAGCUAGAGUCUCGUAGAGGGGGGUAGAAUUCCAGGUGUAGCGGUGAAAUGCGUAGAGAUCUGGAGGAAUACCGGUGGCGAAGGCGGCCCCCUGGACGAAGACUGACGCUCAGGUGCGAAAAGCGUGGGGCAGCAAACAGGAUUAGAUACCCUGGUAGUCCACGCUGUAAACGAUGUCGAUUUGGAGGUUGUGCCCUUGAGGCGUGGCUUCCGGAGCUAACGCGUUAAAUCGACCGCCUGGGGAGUACGGCCGCAAGGUUAAAACUCAAAGGAAUUGACGGGGUC